This 301-nucleotide ribosomal RNA is filed under the name uncultured bacterium. RNAcentral describes it as "partial 16S ribosomal RNA". It matches the Rfam family "Bacterial small subunit ribosomal RNA", at positions 509 to 807 of the family's 1533-position model. The record is from RNAcentral.
CAGUAGCCGCGGUAAUACAGAGGGUGCGAGCGUUAAUCGGAUUUACUGGGCGUAAAGCGUGCGUAGGCGGCUUCUUAAGUCGGAUGUGAAAUCCCUGAGCUUAACUUAGGAAUUGCAUUCGAUACUGGGAAGCUAGAGUAUGGGUGAGGAUGGUAGAAUUCCAGGUGUAGCGGUGAAAUGCGUAGAGAUCUGGAGGAAUACCGAUGGCGAAGGCAGCCAUCUGGCCUAAUACUGACGCUGAGGUACGAAAGCAUGGGGAGCAAACAGGAUUAGAUACCCGGGUAGUCCCUGUCUCUUAUAC